UACGAGGGGGGCAAGCGUUGUUCGGAUUCAUUGGGCGUAAAGGGUGCGUAGGUGGCGCUGUAAGUCGGGUGUGAAAUUUCGGAGCUUAACUCCGAAACUGCAUUCGAUACUGCCGUGCUUGAGGACUGGAGAGGAGACUGGAAUUUACGGUGUAGCGGUGAAAUGCGUAGAUAUCGUAAGGAAGACCAGUGGCGAAGGCGGGUCUCUGGACAGUUCCUGACGCUGAGGCACGAAGGCCAGGGGAGCAAACGGG
This 253-nucleotide ribosomal RNA is filed under the name uncultured bacterium. RNAcentral describes it as "partial 16S ribosomal RNA". It matches the Rfam family "Bacterial small subunit ribosomal RNA", at positions 524 to 776 of the family's 1533-position model. The record is from RNAcentral.